GCGCAGCAGUCGCGAAAACUCCGCAAUGCGCGAAAGCGUGACGGGGUUACCCCGAGUGCCGUCCGCUAAGGAUGGCUUUUCCCCAAUGUAGCGAGUUGGGGGAAUAAGAGGAGGGCAAGACUGGUGUCAGCCGCCGCGGUAAUACCAGCUCCUCGAGUGGUGGGGACGAUUAUUGGGCCUAAAGCGUCCGUAGCCGGCUUGGCAAGUCCUCCGUUAAAUCCGGCGAUUCAAUCGCUAGACUGCGGGGGAUACUACCAGGCUAGGGGGCGGGAGAGGUCGACGGUAGUCCUGGGGUAGGGGUGAAAUCCUAUAAUCCCGGGAGGACCACCAGUGGCGAAGGCGGUCGACUAGAACGCGCCCGACGGUGAUGGACGAAAGCUGGGGGAGCGAACCGGAUUAGAUACCCGGGUAGUCC
This 415-nucleotide ribosomal RNA is filed under the name uncultured crenarchaeote. Its description in RNAcentral is "partial 16S ribosomal RNA". It matches the Rfam family "Archaeal small subunit ribosomal RNA", at positions 330 to 747 of the family's 1478-position model. Lineage: Archaea; Thermoproteati; Thermoproteota. The record is from RNAcentral.